RNAcentral lists this long non-coding RNA (1080 nucleotides) under Oncorhynchus mykiss (rainbow trout). RNAcentral's name for it is "lncRNA (ENSOMYG00000063191.1)". Lineage: Eukaryota; Metazoa; Chordata; Actinopteri; Salmoniformes; Salmonidae. The record is from RNAcentral.
AACCAGAGAGCAACCUCUGUCAGGUGAAGUCCACAAAACAUAUUGCAUGUAACAAGACAGUUGUUACAUAACCUACAGCAUCGUCAAGCAAGACGUGAGGAGUCCCCCAGCCUACUGGAUGUCGUGUGGUCACCCCUAUGACGAGAGGACCGUGUGGAACCCCAAGUUCUGUGUGGUCACUGACUGUCAGAUGCUGCUCCUGGACAAAGAGGAGAAGUUUUUGUUUCAGGAGCAGAGGUCAGAUUCAUGUAAGGUCCGACAGCUGAGACGCACCAUCAGCGUUCCCGUAGAAACCAACUUCCACAGCCCAGAGUUCCACAGCCAGCUGUCCAUCGAGAGCAGUGAGUACACACACACACACACACACACACACACACACACACACACACACACACACAUUGUAUUUAUUUUGUAAUACUCUUUCACAUCCACUAGAGGGUAAGCUUGCAUUUUUCCUCAACUCAGCUCUGGUUUUGUACUCUGAUGUAGUGGGAAAAUAUUGUUGAUAUGGAAAAUCUGAGACCAGUGAUAAGAAAUGUAAUAUUGCUUUGCCUUUAAGAAUGGUUGUUUAAGAUAGUUGUUUUUUGUCCUUUGUUUUUCUGCUUUUUCUAAAUGUGUUUUCUUCUCCUUUAUUGAAUCCAUUAAGUGUGUAUUUUUAGUUUGACUGCAAAACAUGUCUGUUUUAAAAAGGCAUUUAUCCCUUCUAUGAAGCUGAGGAAAAUAUUUUACAUCAACAAUACCUUACCUGUGACAAUACCUGUGACACAGCACAUUUACAUCUACAAUGUCUGCAUAGGGUCCCUUUCAUUCAGUAAUAGUAUAUCAACGUUGGCUCAACAUUGGCUCAACCCUUCAUCAACCUUGUGUCAACAGUUUCCAAAUGUUGUCCCAUCUACAGUGUGUCAGUUUAGAGUCAACACAUAUUUUUAUUCCACUCACUGUCUCACUCAAUUAAAACAAAUUGGAAACAUAGUAUGACAAAGUACAAAGUAGUAGCAUAACAAUCAGUUGUUCAAUUGUGUACGGUAGACAGUAAGCAGGCUAAGCAUCUUUGGCUUGUAUUACAAUAUGUUAUCACAU